This 2376-nucleotide long non-coding RNA is filed under the name Pandoravirus dulcis. RNAcentral describes it as "putative ncRNA". The record is from RNAcentral.
GUUGGUCAUUGUCAUUGUCGUCGCCAUUGUCCUUGUCGCCAUAGGCAUAGGCGUCUUCACUGCCAAAAGCGUGCGUUGGACGAUAGGGGACAGUGUCGCCGCAGCCAUACAGUGUGUGAUCACUACCGAUAGGGCCACCGUCAAAGAGAUCGGCAACAUCCUGCGCGCUGUCGGGCGUGCCCAACUGUCGCCAUUGGUCGCUUACGUGCGCAUCGUCCGUGUGGGGAACUGACCAGUGCUGGCCGGUGGCGCGGUCGCCGGCGGCCACCCACGCGCGCCGCAGGGCCGUCGUCCAUGCGUCCGAGGCCGGCCACCGGCCGUCAGCAAAAGUCGCGGCGCCGUCGUGUGCGCCGGUGCGUGGCCUGCUUCCAGAGGCGUCCCACGGCCCAUAGACCUCGGCGGCGACAAAGGCGCCCAUGUCGCAGAGCAGGGCCGGGUCGAUGCGCGCCGGUCCGAUGAGGUCGCUCUCGGGCGCGUGCGGGAUCGUGGCACGGCGCCGACGCGCGGCAGCCGAGGGCGGCGCCACGCGGUGCGCGUCGCGCGGGUCCAACACCAGCCCGGCCACAUCGGGCACGCACGCCACCACGUUGGCCUCCAACUGACACUGGCCCGCGGCCAUGGCAAAGUGACCGUCGGCGUGCGCGCCGCCGGCCCAUCCCGGCCCCCACGCGUGCCGCGCGAUCCAACACGUGUGCCGUGAGAGCCUGGCCGUGGCCGAUCCAUGCACCAUCGCGUCCUCAUCAAGGGCGGCCGACGGCGGUGGCGGGAGCCACGCCUCGCACCAGCCCACGAGCACGACGGCGUGGCCGCCAAAGGCGCGCGGGCACGCCGUUGGAUCGUGCCGGUACACGCCGCCGACCCAACUGGCCGGAUGGCGCUCCGGGUACAUAAAGUCCUCGUGCAGGGCAAAGGCCGACGCCACGGGACCCCAGGCAAAGAUCUCGGCCUUGACGUCCAUCUCUGCAGACGACGCCAGCGCAUAGUGGGCCAGCGGCCGACAGCGCCAGCCACCCGCGCACGACACGCCGCCCACGUAGAGGGCCUCGGCGGCGCCCGCCAGCGUGUGGCCAUAGUCGGCGUGGCGGCCCCCGUGGUGGACCUCGUUGGCCGAGACGACGUCGGCCUCGGCCUCGCUCUGCGCCUCGGUGAGGGCGUCGAAAUCGCGGUCGACAAUGUCGCGCGGCGCGAGGCCGCCAAACACGCCCGGCCGCGAGAUCCCGUCGGGCCACGCGCGCAUGGCGCCGUGCGUCCACAGCGCCGCGCGGUCGCCAAACGCCGACACCACGGCAAACGCCCAGCACGCGCCCGACAGGCCCUGAUCGUGCGGCGGCGCCAGGAGCCGGCCCCACCUGCGGCGGCCGUCGAAUUGCGCCGGCAGGGAGAGCGCGCCCUCGGCGUCGCCCGCCCACACGGCGCCCGUGUCCAGCGGCAGGCGACCGGCCGGGUCGGCGGCGCGCGCCAAUUCGCGCCACGGCCGCACCAGCGGCAGCGAGGCGUACUCGCGCGCCGCCGCCAGCGACGACCCGCGCAGGAUGGUAAAGGCCGGUCGCGGACCCGGCGACGCAGCGGGCUCUGCGUCGACCACGGGCACGACGACUGCCGCUGUCGCAAAGGUCGCGACGCUGGCGAUUGGCGCCAGCGGUGUUGCGGGCGGCAGAGGAGGCUGAUGGGCGGCGACAUCGGACGGCGGUCUCCACGGUCUCGGUUCAUGUUGUGGUUGCCAUUGGUGCGGGUGCGAGGGCAAUGACGAUGACAACGGUGGCGGCGGCGGGGUCGAGGAUGGCGGUUGGGGGAGCGGAUCGUGCGGCGGCUGCGGGUGCCAUGAAAAGGCGCGCCGACGUCGCCGACUACGGGCGCCGCCGAAAUCGCUGGCGUCUGUCUCUUUGUCACUGUCGGACAAGAGGAUCGUGUCUGCAGAGGGCGACGAUGAUUCAGACGACGACAACGACGUUGACCGCGAAGAUAAUGUCGGGGACGACAGAGGCGACGACAGAGGCGACGACGACGGGGAUGAUGACGAGGAUGAUGACGAUGACGACGACAGGGUCGAUAGGAACGUGUCGCUGGCGGUCGUGGCCGUGCUGGUGGUCGUUGUGGUGGUGUCAUCGGUCGAUCGCGGUGGGCGCCGUCUCUUGGGGUGGCGCCGCACGGGGCGCCGGUGCCGGCGAUCGCGGUUGCCGAGCCCCAUGGUUUCCUCCAAGCGGGCGCCGUCCUCGCGUGCGCGCCAACAGUUUUCGUGCGAGCAGUACCGGAACUCGAGGUCAGCGCGGUGCGCGCGCGAUCUCUCUUUUUUUUGUCGGCUCCCUUUCCCUUGUUCUUUUUUAGCCCUCCCUUGCCCUUGCCCCACCGAAAAAAAAAUUUUUUUCCAAUUUAAAA